ACGGGAGGCAGCAGUGGGGAAUAUUSCACAAUGGGCGCAARCCUGAUGCAGCAACGCCGCGUGRGGGAUGACGRCCUUCGGGUUGUAAACCUCUUUUAGCAGGGAAGAAGCGAAAGUGACGGUACCUGCMRAAAAAGCGCCGGCUAACUACGUGCCAGCAGCCGCGGUAAUACGUAGGGCGCAAGCGUUAUCCGGAAUUAUUGGGCGUAAAGAGCUCGUAGGCGGUUUGUCGCGUCUGCUGUGAAAUCCCGAGGCUCAACCUCGGGCCUGCAGUGGGUACGGGCAGACUAGAGUGCGGUAGGGGAGAUUGGAAUUCCUGGUGUAGCGGUGGAAUGCGCAGAUAUCAGGAGGAACACCGAUGGCGAAGGCAGAUCUCUGGGCCGUAACUGACGCUGAGGAGCGAAAGGGUGGGGAGCAAACAGGCUUAGAUACCCUGGUAGUCCACCCCGUAAACGUUGGGAACUAGUUGUGGGGUCCAUUCCACGGAUUCCGUGACGCAGCUAACGCAUUAAGUUCCCCGCCUGGGGAGUACGGCCGCAAGGCUAAAACUCAAAGGAAUUGACGGGGACCCGCACAAGCGGCGGAGCAUGCGGAUUAAUUCGAUGCAACGCGAAGAACCUUACCAAGGCUUGACAUAUACGAGAACGGGCCAGAAAUGGUCAACUCUUUGGACACUCGUAAACAGGUGGUGCAUGGUUGUCGUCAGCUCGUGUCGUGAGAUGUUGGGUUAAGUCCCGCAACGAGCGCAACCCUCGUUCUAUGUUGCCAGCACGUAAUGGUGGGAACUCAUGGGAUACUGCCGGGGUCAACUCGGAGGAAGGUGGGGAUGACGUCAAAUCAUCAUGCCCCUUAUGUCUUGGGCUUCACGCAUGCUACAAUGGCCGGUACAAAGGGCUGCAAUACCGUGAGGUGGAGCGAAUCCCAAAAAGCCGGUCCCAGUUCGGAUUGAGGUCUGCAACUCGACCUCAUGAAGUCGGAGUCGCUAGUAAUCGCAGAUCAGCAACGCUGCGGUGAAUACGUUCCCGGGUCUUGUACACACCGCCCGUCAAGUCAUNAAAGUCGGUAACACCNGAAGCCGGU
RNAcentral lists this ribosomal RNA (1080 nucleotides) under Microbacterium sp. RNAcentral describes it as "bacterial SSU rRNA". The record is from RNAcentral. Lineage: Bacteria; Bacillati; Actinomycetota; Actinomycetes; Micrococcales; Microbacteriaceae.